RNAcentral lists this non-coding RNA (30 nucleotides) under Rattus norvegicus (Norway rat). Lineage: Eukaryota; Metazoa; Chordata; Mammalia; Rodentia; Muridae. The record is from RNAcentral.
UGAGAUGUCUCAGGAACUGUGCCCAGCACU